ACAGAGUAAAGACUUGGCAAAAUGAGGAUGGCACUAAGGGUGCGUUUGGUUCGCGCUAUUUUUUUAAGAUUUUUAGUAAUAUAAUGGGAAUAAGAAAAUAUGACGGUGUUUGGUUAAAGGCACUAAGUAAUCUAGUUGGUAAUAUUAGAUUCACUUGGGAAUGAGAUUCAUCCUAAUGUACUAAUCUCAUUCCCUUGCGGGAGAGUGGUAUCCUCGUAUUAAGGAAUUGGGUAAUUAUAAUAUGUCUAAUCUCUUUCUUUCUCCUUACCCGCAGACUAGUUAGUAUUAUUAUCUUUUACACUCUAACAUCAUAUCUCUCUCUAAACUUAUCUUUUUCUCUCUAAACUUCAACUCUUUUUCUCUCUCUAAACUAAGCUCUCUCUUUCCCUCUUUUCUUAAAAUUUCAACUCUCACACUCCCUCUAAUCUCGACUCUAUUUCUCUUCCUAUUAUUUAAUUAUGCUCUCUCUCUCUAACCUAUAUUUUCUCUCUAUUUUUUCUAAAAAAAUGUUGAAAUUUUUUGUAGCAUUAUCUAAAAUUUAUUAAAAAAAAUUAAUUAAUUAAUUGUAUAUUUUUUGUAAACUUAAAUAACAUGACUAAAUAAUAUGACCGUGCGAACCAAACACAUGAAUGCCACAUUCUUAGUAAUAGGAUGAAUAGCAAUAAGAUUCUCGGAUAUUUUUUUACUCAUAGUAAUCUUUCAUAAUACGAACCAAACAUGCCCUAAGGGUGCAUUUGGUUCGCACUAUCUUUUUAAGAUUCCUAGUAAUGCAAUGGGAAUAAAAAAAUAUGACGGUGUUUGGCUAAAGGCGCUAAGUAAUCUAGUUGGUAAUAUUAGAUUCACUUGGGAAUGAGAUUCAUCCCAAUGUACUAAUCUCAUUCCCUUGCGGGAGAGUGGGCAUCCUCAUAUUAAUGAAUUGGGUAAUCAUAAUAUGUCUAAUCUUUUUCUUUCUCCCUACCCGCAGGCUAGUUAGUAUUAUUAUCUUUUACACUCUAACAUCAUAUCUCUUUCUAAACUUAUCUUUUUCUCUCUAAACUUCAACUCUUUUUCUCUCUCUAAACUAAGCUCUCUCUUUCCCUCUUUUUCUAAAAUUUCAACUCUCACGCUCCCUCUAAUCUCGACUCUAUUUCUCUUCCUAUUAUUUAAUUAUGCUCUCUCUCUCUAACCUAUAUUUUCUCUCCAUUUUUUCUAAAAAGAUGUUGAAAUUUUGGUAGCAUUAUCUAAAAUUUAUUAAAAAAAAAAUAAAUUAAUUAAUUGUAUAUUUUUUGUAAACUUAAAUAACAUGACUAAAUAAUAUGACCGUGCGAACCAAUCACAUGAAUGCCACAUUCUUAGUAAUAGGAUAAAUAGAAAUAAGAUUCUCGAAUAUCUUUUUAC
RNAcentral lists this long non-coding RNA (1377 nucleotides) under Ananas comosus (pineapple). Its description in RNAcentral is "long non-coding RNA (ACOM_LNC011978)". Lineage: Eukaryota; Viridiplantae; Streptophyta; Magnoliopsida; Poales; Bromeliaceae. The record is from RNAcentral.